GGGUUGUGAGGUUAAGCGAAUAAGCGUACACGGUGGAUGCCUAGGCAAUCAGAGGCGAUGAAGGACGUGCUAAUCUGCGAAAAGCGUCGGUAAGGUGAUAUGAACCGUUAUACCCGACGAUAUCCGAAUGGGGAAACCCAGUAUCCAAUGGAUACUAUCAUUAACUGAAUCCAUAGGUUAAUGAGGCGAACCGGGAGAACUGAAACAUCUCAGUACCCCGAGGAAAAGAAAUCAACCGAGAUUCCCCUAGUAGCGGCGAGCGAACGGGGAGCAGCCCAGAGUCUUAAUCAAUAGCAGUGUCAGGAGAACGGUCUGGAAAGUCCGGCAGUAAAGGGUGAUAGCCCCGUAUCUGAAGAUGCUGUUGUUGUGAACUCGACGAGUAGGGCGGGACACGUGUUAUCCUGUCUGAAUAUGGGGGGACCAUCCUCCAAGGCUAAAUACUCCUGAUUGACCGAUAGUGAACCAGUACCGUGAGGGAAAGGCGAAAAGAACCCCGGCGAGGGGAGUGAAAAAGAACCUGAAACCGUGUACGUACAAGCAGUAGGAGCCUCUUUAUGGGGUGACUGCGUACCUUUUGUAUAAUGGGUCAGCGACUUAUAUUCUGUAGCAAGGUUAACCGUAUAGGGGAGCCGUAGGGAAACCGAGUCUUAACUGGGCGAAUGAGUUGCAGGGUAUAGACCCGAAACCCGGUGAUCUAUCCAUGGGCAGGUUGAAGGUUGGGUAACACUAACUGGAGGACCGAACCGACUAAUGUUGAAAAAUUAGCGGAUGACUUGUGGAUGGGGGUGAAAGGCCAAUCAAACCGGGAGAUAGCUGGUUCUCCCCGAAAGCUAUUUAGGUAGCGCCUCGUGAACUCAUCUUCGGGGGUAGAGCACUGUUUCGACUAGGGGGUCAUCCCGACUUACCAACUCGAUGCAAACUGCGAAUACCGAAGAAUGUUAUCACGGGAGACACACGGCGGGUGCUAACGUCCGUCGUGAAGAGGGAAACAACCCAGACCGCCAGCUAAGGUCCCAAAGUCAUGGUUAAGUGGGAAACGAAGUGGGAAGGCUCAGACAGCCAGGAUGUUGGCUUAGAAGCAGCCAUCAUUUAAAGAAAGCGUAAUAGCUCACUGGUCGAGUCGGCCCGCGCGGAAGAUGUAACGGGGCUAAACCAUGCACCGAAGCUGCGGCAGCGACACAUAGUGUUGUUGGGUAGGGGAGCGUUCUGUAAGCCUGCGAAGGUGUACUGUGAGGUAUGCUGGAGGUAUCAGAAGUGCGAAUGCUGACAUAAGUAACGAUAAUGCGGGUGAAAAACCCGCACGCCGGAAGACCAAGGGUUCCUGUCCAACGUUAAUCGGGGCAGGGUGAGUCGACCCCUAAGGCGAGGCUGAAAAGCGUAGUCGAUGGGAAACGGGUUAAUAUUCCCGUACUGGUGGUAACUGCGAUGGGGGAACGGAGAAGGCUAGGUUGUCCGGGCGACGGUCGUCCCGGUUCAAGCAGGUAGGCAGAGUGAUUAGGCAAAUCCGGUCACUUAAUGCUGAGAUGUGAUGACGAACCACCAAGGUGGUGAAGCAAUUGAUGCCCCGCUUCCAGGAAAAGCCUCUAAGCUUCAGGUUACCAACAAUCGUACCCCAAACCGACACAGGUGGUCAGGUAGAGAAUACUCAGGCGCUUGAGAGAACUCGGGUGAAGGAACUAGGCAAAAUGGUGCCGUAACUUCGGGAGAAGGCACGCUGGCGGUAGGUAAAGUCCCUCGCGGACGGCGCCCAAGCCAGUCGAAGAUACCAGCUGGCUGCAACUGUUUAUUAAAAACACAGCACUGUGCAAACACGAAAGUGGACGUAUACGGUGUGACGCCUGCCCGGUGCUGGAAGGUUAAUUGAUGGGGUUAGCGCAAGCGAAGCUCCUGAUCGAAGCCCCAGUAAACGGCGGCCGUAACUAUAACGGUCCUAAGGUAGCGAAAUUCCUUGUCGGGUAAGUUCCGACCUGCACGAAUGGCGUAAUGAUGGCCAGGCUGUCUCCACCCGAGACUCAGUGAAAUUGAACUCGCUGUGAAGAUGCAGUGUACCCGCGGCAAGACGGAAAGACCCCGUGAACCUUUACUAUAGCUUGACACUGAACAUUGAGCCUUGAUGUGUAGGAUAGGUGGGAGGCUUUGAAGUGUGGACGCCAGUCUGCAUGGAGCCAACCUUGAAAUACCACCCUUUAACGUUUGAUGUUCUAACCUAGGCCCAUAAACUGGGUCGGGGACCGUGUCUGGUGGGUAGUUUGACUGGGGCGGUCUCCUCCUAAAGAGUAACGGAGGAGCACGAAGGUUGGCUAAGCAUGGUCGGACAUCAUGCGGUUAGUGCAAAGGCAUAAGCCAGCUUGACUGCGAGAGUGACGGCUCGAGCAGGUACGAAAGUAGGUCUUAGUGAUCCGGUGGUUCUGAAUGGAAGGGCCAUCGCUCAACGGAUAAAAGGUACUCCGGGGAUAACAGGCUGAUACCGCCCAAGAGUUCAUAUCGACGGCGGUGUUUGGCACCUCGAUGUCGGCUCAUCACAUCCUGGGGCUGAAGUAGGUCCCAAGGGUAUGGCUGUUCGCCAUUUAAAGUGGUACGCGAGCUGGGUUUAGAACGUCGUGAGACAGUUCGGUCCCUAUCUGCCGUGGGCGUUGGAAGAUUGAGAGGGGUUGCUCCUAGUACGAGAGGACCGGAGUGAACGCACCACUGGUGUUCGGGUUGUCAUGCCAAUGGCAUUGCCCGGUAGCUAAGUGCGGAAGAGAUAACCGCUGAAAGCAUCUAAGCGGGAAACUUGCCUCGAGAUGAGUCUUCCCUGUCGCUUUAAGCGACCUAAAGGAACGUUUAAGACUAAGACGUUGAUAGGCUGGGUGUGUAAGCGUAGCGAUACGUUGAGCUAACCAGUACUAAUGAACCGUGAGGCUUAACCUGACAACACCGAAAGUGUUUUG
RNAcentral lists this ribosomal RNA (2930 nucleotides) under Proteus mirabilis. RNAcentral's name for it is "bacterial LSU rRNA". It matches the Rfam family "Bacterial large subunit ribosomal RNA". Lineage: Bacteria; Pseudomonadati; Pseudomonadota; Gammaproteobacteria; Enterobacterales; Morganellaceae. The record is from RNAcentral.